This 253-nucleotide ribosomal RNA is filed under the name uncultured bacterium. RNAcentral describes it as "partial 16S ribosomal RNA". It matches the Rfam family "Bacterial small subunit ribosomal RNA", at positions 524 to 776 of the family's 1533-position model. The record is from RNAcentral.
GACAGAGGGUGCAACCGUUGCUCGGAAUUACUGGGCGUAAAGCGCGUGUAGGCGGACAAGCAAGUCAGGUGUGAAAUCCCUGGGCUCAACCCAGGAACUGCAUUUGAAACUGCAUGUCUAGAGUGUCGGAGAGGGAAGCGGAAUUCCUGGUGUAGAGGUGAAAUUCGUAGAUAUCAGGAGGAACACCGGUGGCGAAGGCGGCUUCCUGGACGAUUACUGACGCUGAGACGCGAAAGCGUGGGGAGCAAACAGG